GAGAGAGAGAGAGUUGAGCUGGAAUACUAUCGGUAGCAAAUAGGCUCCGUUGUCACCCAUUUGUUUUCAAUGAUGGAGCCUCCAAAUCGACGAUCGGCACCGUUGAAAAUGAUCUAUACCACUUGAAGUAUCUAGAAAUCAAAUUUCAUGCUUUUUCCAUAUUGUUUUCUUGUCCAUCAAGUGGGCGUAAAAAUGAAUCGCCGAAAAUGAAUAUUCUCUGAAAAGUGAUGAUAAAAAUGUUGUAAUCAUGAUCGAGAGUAUAGAUCUUAUUCUAAAUAGUUUAAAGAAUUUUCUAACCAAACUUUAAUUGAUUUGGAUAGCUUUACACCGUUUAACGAGAAAACUCCUCAUAUCAACCAUUAAAAUUACUAAUUUUGAAACCCUUCGAUCAUUAGGUAAAUGAUGUCGAAAAGAUUUGAAAUUUGAUUUCUAGAUACUUCAAAUGAUAUAGAUCAUGUUCAACGGUGCCGAUCGUCAAUUUGAAAGCUCCAUCAUCGAAAACAAAUGGUUGGCAACGGAGCCCGUUUACUACCGAUAGCAUUCCAGCUCAACUAUAUAUAUAUAUAUAUAUAUAUAUAAAAUUGAGCUCCUAUGCUUUUAAAAGUAUCAAGUUAUUGGUGCUUGUAGAUUUUUAGCCAUUGGAUUAAGAGAUAUGCGGUUAGGAUGAUGUGGGCCCCCUAAGGUUGAGUGGGUGGUUGGUUGAAUAAUAUGAUCUAACGGAUNUACAAGCACCAAGUGCUUGGUGCUUUUACAAGCACCAUAGUUGGACUCUCUCUCUCUCUCUCUCUCUCUCUCUAUAUAUAUAUAUAUAGAGUUGGGCUGCUGUGCUCUCAGGAGUACGGAGGCCUCCGUGCUCCUGAGCCGUUUUCGAUGAUGGAAUUUCCGAAUCGACGAUCAGCUCCGUUAGACUUGAUCUAACGUUUUUGAAGUUUCUAGAAAAUAAUUUUUGCGAUUUUGUGAUAUAAUUUAUUUAGCAAUCGAAAGGAUUCAAAAUCAAUAAUUUUUAACGGCUGAAAAUAAAAAUUCUAUAAAAAGUGGUGAUAUAGCACUAAAAUUUUCGAUCAGAAAUAUUGAUUUUGUUGUAUAUUGUAUAAAGAAUUUUGUAUCAAAAUUUCAUCUGAUUUGAAUACUUUUACACCGUUAAACUUGAAAACGGCAGAUAUCAAUUAUUAAAAAUUAUUGAUUUUGAAUCCUUUCAAUCACUAGGUAAAUAAUAUUAAAAAAUCGCAAAAAUUAUUUUCUAGAAACUUCAAAUACGCUAGAUCAAAUCUAACAGAACUGAUCGUCGAUUCGGAAAUUCCAUCAUCGAAAACGGCUCAGAAACACGGAGGCCUCCGUGCUCCUGAGAGCACAGCUGUCCUACUAUAUAUAU
This 1372-nucleotide long non-coding RNA is filed under the name Ananas comosus (pineapple). RNAcentral's name for it is "long non-coding RNA (ACOM_LNC004248)". Lineage: Eukaryota; Viridiplantae; Streptophyta; Magnoliopsida; Poales; Bromeliaceae. The record is from RNAcentral.